Molecule: long non-coding RNA, 531 nt
Filed under: Brassica napus (rape)
Lineage: Eukaryota; Viridiplantae; Streptophyta; Magnoliopsida; Brassicales; Brassicaceae
Description: long non-coding RNA (BNAP_LNC025036)
Source: RNAcentral
CGAGCGAUAUCAGUUACCAAACGACAAGACCCUGGUCAAAAGAUAACCGCCCCUUUUCAUUUUCGAUCAAAUCAAAAGAGGCUGGGGGACAAAUGUUGGACCCAAUUUUGGUCGAUACCAUAAUGGGCCGCGAUCAAAGGCAUGGGCCUUAAAGGGCCUGAGCAUAUAGCAAGAACACGAGCUCGAGGAAGAGUCGUCGAGGUCGCGGAGAUCGUGCAACAAGAGGCAAAGAUCUCGGAGCUACCACGGAGAUCUUGAAGUCGACUCACUAUAAAAGGAGAGGAAGAAACACAGAAGUGGAGGCAUCGAAAACCCUAGAGAGAGCUACACAUUUACUUCGAUCUUGUUGUCUUCCCAUUCUUAGAUUCUUUCUUGACCGAUCUCAUUUGUAUCACUCGAUCUAGUUCAAUUCAGUGUAUUCGAUCUUAGUCAUCAAUAAAAUCUAUUUUCACCUAUUGGAAACUAUUUAACAUCGUUGUGUUCUAAAAAUAUCGUUGCCUACAUCAUUUGUCUUCCCUAGAUCAAACCCCG